This 467-nucleotide ribosomal RNA is filed under the name uncultured bacterium. RNAcentral describes it as "partial 16S ribosomal RNA". It matches the Rfam family "Bacterial small subunit ribosomal RNA", at positions 28 to 507 of the family's 1533-position model. The record is from RNAcentral.
GACGAACGCUGGCGGCGUGCUUAACACAUGCAAGUCGAACGGAAAGGCUCCAACUUUCUGCUGUUCUCGAGUGGCGAACGCGUGUGUGUCACGUGGGUAUUCUGCCCUGCACUCUGGGGUAAGACUGGGAAACUGGGUAUAAUAUAGGACAUGACCUUUCUUCUUACGGGGUUUGGUGGAAAGUUUUUCGGUGUCGGAUGUGCCCGCGGCCUAUCCGCUUGUUGGUGGGGUGAUUGCGUACCAAGGCGACGACGGGUAGCCUGCCUGAGAGGGUGAUCGGGCACAGUGGGACUGAGAUAGGGCCCAGACGCCUACGGGAGGCAGCAGGGGGAAAUAUUGCACAAUGGGCGGAAGCCUGAUGCAGCGACGUCGCGUGAGGGAGGACGGUCUUCGGGUUAGAAACCGCUUGCAGCAGGGACGAAGCGUAAGUGACGGUACCUUCAGAAGAAGCACCGGCUAACUACGUG